CCUACGGGUGGCUGCAGUGGGGAAUAUUGGACAAUGGGCGAAAGCCUGAUCCAGCCAUGCCGCGUGUGUGAAGAAGGCCUUCGGGUUGUAAAGCACUUUCAGUGGGGAAGAAAGCCUUGGGGCUAAUACCCUCGAGGAAGGACAUCACCCACAGAAGAAGCACCGGCUAACUCCGUGCCAGCAGCCGCGGUAAUACGGAGGGUGCGAGCGUUAUUCGGAAUUACUGGGCGUAAAGCGCGCGUAGGCGGUCUGAUAAGCCGGUUGUGAAAGCCCCGGGCUCAACCUGGGAACGGCAUCCGGAACUGUCAGGCUAGAGUGCAGGAGAGGAAGGUAGAAUUCCCGGUGUAGCGGUGAAAUGCGUAGAGAUCGGGAGGAAUACCAGUGGCGAAGGCGGCCUUCUGGACUGACACUGACGCUGAGGUGCGAAAGCGUGGGUAGCAAACAGGAUUAGAUACCCGGGUAGUC
RNAcentral lists this ribosomal RNA (465 nucleotides) under Vreelandella stevensii. Its description in RNAcentral is "partial 16S ribosomal RNA". It matches the Rfam family "Bacterial small subunit ribosomal RNA", at positions 338 to 795 of the family's 1533-position model. The record is from RNAcentral. Lineage: Bacteria; Pseudomonadati; Pseudomonadota; Gammaproteobacteria; Oceanospirillales; Halomonadaceae.